UGAGCAAUCUGCCCUUCUCUUCGGAAUAAGCGUUGGAAACGAUGUCUAAUGCCGAAUACGACCUCCUUUCGCAUGAUCGGAGGUGGAAAGCUCCGGCGGAGAAGGAUGAGCUCGCGGCCUAUCAGCUAGUUGGUGUGGGUAAUGGCCCACCAAGGCGACGACGGGUAGCCGGCCUGAGAGGGUGACCGGCCACACUGGGACUGAGACACGGCCCAGACUCCUACGGGAGCAG
Molecule: ribosomal RNA, 232 nt
Filed under: uncultured bacterium
Lineage: Bacteria
Description: partial 16S ribosomal RNA
Rfam family: Bacterial small subunit ribosomal RNA
Source: RNAcentral